RNAcentral lists this ribosomal RNA (332 nucleotides) under uncultured Sporomusa sp. Its description in RNAcentral is "bacterial SSU rRNA". It matches the Rfam family "Bacterial small subunit ribosomal RNA", at positions 568 to 898 of the family's 1533-position model. The record is from RNAcentral. Lineage: Bacteria; Bacillati; Bacillota; Negativicutes; Selenomonadales; Sporomusaceae.
CGUGUAGGUGGAUUUUUAAGUCGUGUGUCUAAGUGCGAGGCUCAACCUCGUAUAGGCGCAGGAAACUGGAGAUCUUGAGUGCAGGAGAGGAAAGUGGAAUUCCCAGUGUAGCGGUGAAAUGCGUAGAUAUUGGGAGGAACACCAGUGGCGAAGGCGACUUUCUGGACUGUGUCUGACACUGAGGCGCGAAAGCUAGGGGAGCGAACGGGAUUAGAUACCCCGGUAGUCCUAGCCGUAAACGAUGGGUACUAGGUGUAGAGGGUAUCGACCCCUUCUGUGCCGGAGUUAACGCAAUAAGUACCCCGCCUGGGGAGUACGGCCGCAAGGUUGAA